RNAcentral lists this ribosomal RNA (456 nucleotides) under uncultured Diaphorobacter sp. Its description in RNAcentral is "bacterial SSU rRNA". It matches the Rfam family "Bacterial small subunit ribosomal RNA", at positions 923 to 1382 of the family's 1533-position model. The record is from RNAcentral. Lineage: Bacteria; Pseudomonadati; Pseudomonadota; Betaproteobacteria; Burkholderiales; Comamonadaceae.
GCACAAGCGGUGGAUGAUGUGGUUUAAUUCGAUGCAACGCGAAAACCUUACCCACCUUUGACAUGGCAGGAAGUAUUCAGAGAUGGAUACGUGCCCGAAAGGGAACCUGCACACAGGUGCUGCAUGGCUGUCGUCAGCUCGUGUCGUGAGAUGUUGGGUUAAGUCCCGCAACGAGCGCAACCCUUGCCAUUAGUUGCUACGAAAGGGCACUCUAAUGGGACUGCCGGUGACAAACCGGAGGAAGGUGGGGAUGACGUCAAGUCCUCAUGGCCCUUAUAGGUGGGGCUACACACGUCAUACAAUGGCUGGUACAGAGGGUUGCCAACCCGCGAGGGGGAGCUAAUCCCAUCAAAACGGGGCAUGGUUCGGAUUGCAGGCUGCAAUUCGCCUGCAUGAAGCCGGAAUCGCUAGUAAUCGCGGGUCAGCCACACCGCGGUGAAUACGUACUCGGGGCUU